Molecule: ribosomal RNA, 449 nt
Filed under: uncultured bacterium
Lineage: Bacteria
Description: partial 16S ribosomal RNA
Rfam family: Bacterial small subunit ribosomal RNA
Source: RNAcentral
AGCGAACGCUGGCGGCAGGCCUAACACAUGCAAGUCGAACGAAGUCUUCGGACUUAGUGGCGGACGGGUGAGUAACACGUGGGAACGUGCCUUUAGGUUCGGAAUAACUCAGGGAAACUUGUGCUAAUACCGAAUGUGCCCUUCGGGGGAAAGAUUUAUCGGCUUUAGAGCGGCCCGCGUCUGAUUAGCAAGUUGGUUAGGUAAAGGCUCACCAAGGCGACGAUCAGUAGCUGGUCUGAGAGGAUGAUCAGCCACAUUGGGACUGAGACACGGCCCAAACUCCUACGGGAGGCAGCAGUGGGGAAUCUUGCGCAAUGGGCGAAAGCCUGACGCAGCCAUGCCGCGUGAAUGAUGAAGGUCUUAGGAUUGUAAAAUUCUUUCACCGGGGACGAUAAUGACGGUACCCGGAGAAGAAGCCCCGGCUAACUUCGUGCCAGCAGCCGCCGUAA